Molecule: long non-coding RNA, 1651 nt
Organism: Macaca mulatta (Rhesus monkey)
Lineage: Eukaryota; Metazoa; Chordata; Mammalia; Primates; Cercopithecidae
Source: Ensembl
UGAAAUUUUAAACACAAAAAGAGGGCACACACAUUUUGAACUCUACAAUGCACCCUUUUUUGAUCUUUACCUGGUGUCAGUUCCACUCACUGCCACACCUUUGGCCUGAAAAGGAAACAGAUACUUAUGAUCUUGUGGUUUUGGAGAAGAAGGGAAACAUUUUGAAUUAGUUACUUUUAUUUCAGUAUGGAGCUGGCUUAGGGCAGCCUCUUCCAAUUUGUUCCUGUACUACAUACAAACAUAUUUUAAAAAGACAUUAUAUUAUAAUGUCAAACAUUAUUCCAAUAAUCAGAUGUUAGAAUUUCUAAGGAAUUCAUCCUAAUUUAAGGUGAAUGAACUAAAAUGAGAAUAUCUACAGUUUUCAUCACCCAGUAUAUUAAGAUGUCUUCAUAAAAUAGUAACUGAAAAUCAGAAGAAUGAGGUUUUCUACCUCUUUCUCCCACGUAUUCCCUCACCUGAAACAUAACAAUUGUCCCCUGAGCGCUUCCUUUACUAGCCUUCCCUACAGCGCCCCAGAAAGCCUGUGCAUCAAGCAGACGAGUUAAUUGGCCUUUCUGCAGGAACUGAGAACACCACCUGUGAGGCUCAUGGUUUUAGGGUUUGGGGGUACGGAUUCAAAUAAUUGACAGUGGGUCUUUCAAAUGAGGGGCAUGAGCUUGAAAACAUGUUCCAGAAUAGUAAAGGAUUUGUGGACACAGCAAUACGAAGUUCUUUUUUUGUUUUUUGAGACGGAGUCUCCCUCCACCACCCUGACUGGAGUGAGUGGCGCCAUCUUGGCUCACUGUAAGCUCCGCCUCCCGGGUUCCCGCCAUUCUCUUACCUCAGCCUCCUGAGUAGCUGGGACCACAGGGGCCGCCGCCACGCCCGGCUAAUUUUUUGUAUUUUUAGUAGAGACGGGGUUUCACCGUGUUAGCCAGGUUGGUCGCGAUUUCCCGACCUCGUGAUCCACCCACCUCGGCCUCCCAAAGUGCUGGGAUGACAGGCGUGAGCCACCGCGCCCGGCAGCGAUACGAAGUUCUUAAAGCAAGUCUUCAUCAGGAAGGGUCCUUGAUCAGCAACUGCUUGCGCAGUUACGCCUCUAUUUUCCUCUGUUGCAUGACCCCAGGAGAGAUUUUAAUUAGCUUUCUAACCUUGGUCCAGAUUGCAUAUGCAAAGGGUAGAGGAUGCAACACCCCCGGUCGUGGAGCUGCCGCUUGUGUCUGGCAUGGUGAGUUCACCAUUUGCUGCAAGUCCCAUCGAUUCUGACUGUUUCUUUCAAGGGCCACGUGUUCAAAAUCGAAACUAAUAAUUAAGCAUCAUUUGAAUAAAAUACACUGCCAGCUGAAUAUUCAUUCAGAUAUGUACGAUAAUAAUAACUGUUCCAUUGCUGGUGUAGCUAGAGAGUUCCUGAAUAAUCCCAAAGAUUGUUACAAUUAGCAAGUUUAAUUACUUGAAAAAAUCUUGUGCAAAUUAAGAUGAUCAUAUACAUUUCAGGAAAAAACACGUGAUCUUUUACAUAAUGAAUGAUAUUUUGCUGAGAUUCUUGGAUUUGUAAGGCAUUGUUGGCCAAGCAUGGAAUGUUUUCCUAUGGUAUGGUAUGCGAAGUGAGUUACACGAUACACAGAAAAACAUUUAUGUUUCAAUAUUUACCUUAAGAUAUGUGACUUUUUAG